RNAcentral lists this transfer RNA (30 nucleotides) under Echymipera clara (Clara's echymipera). Its description in RNAcentral is "partial tRNA-Phe". The record is from RNAcentral. Lineage: Eukaryota; Metazoa; Chordata; Mammalia; Peramelemorphia; Peroryctidae.
UUAGAUGGAUUCUCACAAAUCCCAUAAACA